Molecule: ribosomal RNA, 426 nt
Filed under: uncultured bacterium
Lineage: Bacteria
Description: bacterial SSU rRNA
Rfam family: Bacterial small subunit ribosomal RNA
Source: RNAcentral
GGGCCCGCACAAGCGGUGGAGCAUGUGGCUUAAUUCGAUGCAACGCGAGGAACCUUACCUGGGCUAAAUCCACAGUGAUGUCUUCUGGAAACAGGAGGUCCCUUAGGGGCACUAUGGAAGGUGCUGCAUGGCUGUCGUCAGUUCGUGCCGUGAGGUGUUGGGUUAAGUCCCGCAACGAGCGCAACCCCUGUGGUUAGUUACCAGCACGUAAAGGUGGGGACUCUAGCCAGACUGCCUACGCAAGUAGUGAGGAAGGUGGGGACGACGUCAAGUCAUCAUGGCCCUUACGUCCAGGGCUGCACACGUGCUACAAUGGUCGGUACAAUGGGUCGCCACCCAGCGAUGGGGCCAAAUCCAUAAAACCGAUCUCAGUUCGGAUUGGAGUCUGCAACUCGACUCCAUGAAGUUGGAAUCGCUAGUAAUCGC